CAAUAAAUUCAUUCAGAGUGCUUACUAUACGACGACAAUUGCAGUUGGAAGUCCUCAAUAGAAAGGUUGAAGAAAGUAUCAACAUGAAGAAAGAGCCUCGUGUUUUUAUUUGUUUUGUUCUCUUUCACUUACAGUGAAAUAUAUAUAACCACAUCCAAGGGGAUUGCUUUUGAGGUCUGAGUGAGAAAAAAGCAAAAGCAGACCAUAGGAAAAGCAAGCUGCUAAAGGAUUUUACCCAAAUUCCUCAGGAAAAAUAACAUGGCCAACAUGAGGGUCUAAAUCUGAGGUACUCAUCCCACAUGACAAAUGAUCAGCCAUUUGUAUAAAAAAAGGCCAAAAAUACCUGAAAAAUACCCCAAAAAGUGCUUCUGAGCUACUUGUUUCAUUGACUCGGAUGCAUUGGCUAUGUUUCAAACAGUAUGCAGAGCCAAGUCUGCUUGUUUAGGUGCCCACCUUCAGGAUGCUGCCUUCAGGUUGAAGCAGGGUGCCAGGGGUGUGAACUGAAGCUGCCAUUUGAGGUGUCUGCAGAGGACCAACAGCAAGUGGGAUCCACCAAAUUAGUGUCCUCCCUUCCUACCACUUUUACAU
This is a non-coding RNA of Phalacrocorax carbo (great cormorant), 588 nucleotides long. The record is from RefSeq and is a predicted model, not a curated record. NCBI's taxonomy places the organism in Eukaryota, Metazoa, Chordata, Aves, Suliformes, Phalacrocoracidae.